RNAcentral lists this ribosomal RNA (254 nucleotides) under uncultured bacterium. RNAcentral describes it as "partial 16S ribosomal RNA". It matches the Rfam family "Bacterial small subunit ribosomal RNA", at positions 524 to 776 of the family's 1533-position model. The record is from RNAcentral.
UACGUAGGGUGCGAGCGUUGUCCGGAAUUAUUGGGCGUAAAGAGCUCGUAGGCGGUGUGUCGCGUCGGUCGUGAAAACUUGGGGCUUAACUCUGAGCUUGCGGUCGAUACGAGCAUCACUGGAGUUCGGCAGGGGAGACUGGAAUUCCUGGUGUAGCGGUGAAAUGCGCAGAUAUCAGGAGGAACACCGGUGGCGAAGGCGGGUCUCUGGGCCGAUACUGACGCUGAGGAGCGAAAGCGUGGGGAGCGAACAGG